RNAcentral lists this ribosomal RNA (1404 nucleotides) under Triticum aestivum (bread wheat). Its description in RNAcentral is "partial small subunit ribosomal RNA". The record is from RNAcentral. Lineage: Eukaryota; Viridiplantae; Streptophyta; Magnoliopsida; Poales; Poaceae.
AUGACAGCAUGGAACCCAGAAGGAAGAAGUAGGGGUGUGGCGUUGUUCUGGCGAAGGGGGAUAGAUGUGAUGCUCAGAUCGUAUGGUAGGAUACAUAUAGACGUGGAUGUGCGGGAGGAUGAUGGAAGGAUGUGGAGGUUAACGGGUGUAUAUGGUGAAUCAGUUACGGAGCGGAAGGAUACAUGGCGUACCCUAAGACUUUUGGGGCAACAACAUUAGGAUGGGAGGCCGUGGUUAUGCCUAGGAGACUUUAAUGAAAUCCUCUCGGAUGAUGAAAAGGUUGGAGGAGUGUUACGGCCACAAGUCAUGAUGGAUAAUUUCCGGGAAGCUUUGGUAGAGCUUAGCGACAUUGGCUACUCAGGGGAUAAAUAUACCUGGAGGAAUCACAGCAAGGACAUCCACAACUACAUUUGUGAAAGGCUGGACCGUGCCACGGCUAACUCGGCUUGGUGUGAGAUGUUUUCAGACUAUACUGUGAUCAAUGGGCCACCCCGCCACUCGGAUCAUCGGUCGGUAGUUGUGUGCACUCGAGGAGAGGGGAGAACGCCUGCCCGUGGGGAUAGGGGGUUUCGGUUCGAGGCGUGGUGGCUAAAGGAGGAGGGGUGUAGCGCUGAAAUACAAGGAGCUUGGGAGGAGGGUAUGCUGGGAGAGACAACAAAUGUGGCCUACACACUUCGGUGUGUUGCAGGGAGAAUGACAAAAUGGCACAAGGAAGUUGUGGGGGAGCUAGAUGGCCGCCUAAAGAAAGCAAAACGUGACCUGGAGAAGUGUAUGUGUGCCCCGGUGUCAGAAAGGAAGAUUAGGGAGGAGGCUAGGCUACAGUGUGCUGUGGAAGAGUUAGAGGUGAAGAAGAAUAUAAAAGCAAAGCAGCGAUCACAUGUUACCUGGCUGCGAGAUGGCAAUAGAAGCACGAAGUAUUUCAUGGUUGUGGCAAAUGCUAGACGGAAGGCUAAUAGAGUGAAGGGGUUAAGAAGGGAGGAUGGAUCGGUGGUGAAGGAGGGAGAAGGGCUUUCUAACUAUAUUUGCUCCUUUUUCGAAUUGUUCACCUCAUCAGCGGGUACAAGGAUAAAUGAACUCAUUCAGAAAGUUGAGCCACGGGUCACAGAGGGCAUGAGACUCAUAUUGGAGGCUGAAUUUACUCGGGAGGAGGUCAAGGCAACGUUGGAUCAUAUUGGGAACCUUAAAGCACCUGGACCCGAUGGAAUGCCCUCUCUUGUGUACAAGCAACAUUGGCACUUUAUGGGUGAUAAAGUUGUUGAGGAAGUGCUUGCAGUUCUUAAUGGGGCCGAGAUGCCGGAAGGGUGGAACGAUACGCUGGUUGUGUUCAUCCCGAAGGUCAAGAACCCGAACCGGAUUAAGGAUCUCCGGCUCAUCAGCUUAUGCAACGUCAUCUACCACUACUAG